CCUACGGGAGGCAGCAGUGGGGAAUCUUGCGCAAUGGGCGAAAGCCUGACGCAGCAACGCCGCGUGCGGGAAGAAGGCUUUCGGGCUGUAAACCGCUUUCAGCAGGAACGAAAAUGACGGUACCUGCAGAAGAAGGAGCGGCCAACUAUGUGCCAGCAGCCGCGGUGAUACAUAGGCUUCAAGCGUUGUCCGGAUUUAUUGGGCGUAAAGAGUUCGUAGGCGGUCAAGUAAGUCGGGUGUGAAAAUUCUGGGCUCAACCCAGAGACGCCACCCGAUACUGCUUAACUUGAGUUCGAUAGGGGAGUGGGGAAUUCCUAGUGUAGCGGUGAAAUGCGCAGAUAUUAGGAGGAACACCGGUGGCGAAGGCGCCACUCUGGAUCGAUACUGACGCUGAGGAACGAAAGCAUGGGUAGCAAACAGGAUUAGAUACCCUGGUAGUCCAUGCCGUAAACGGUGGGCACUAGGUGUGGGUUUCUAUUAACGAAAUCCGCGCCGUCGCUAACGCAUUAAGUGCCCCGCCUGGGAGGUACGGUCGCGAGACUAAACUUAAAUAGAUAGACGGCGUGAGACGUGCCGACGACGACGACGACGGGAGUAGG
This 599-nucleotide ribosomal RNA is filed under the name uncultured bacterium. Its description in RNAcentral is "bacterial SSU rRNA". It matches the Rfam family "Bacterial small subunit ribosomal RNA", at positions 338 to 1342 of the family's 1533-position model. The record is from RNAcentral.